UGGGGAAUAUUGCACAAUGGGCGCAAGCCUGAUGCAGCCAUGCCGCGUGUAUGAAGAAGGCCUUCGGGUUGUAAAGUACUUUCAGCGGGGAGGAAGGCGAUAAGGUUAAUAACCUUGUCGAUUGACGUUACCCGCAGAAGAAGCACCGGCUAACUCCGUGCCAGCAGCCGCGGUAAUACGGAGGGUGCAAGCGUUAAUCGGAAUUACUGGGCGUAAAGCGCACGCAGGCGGUCUGUCAAGUCGGAUGUGAAAUCCCCGGGCUCAACCUGGGAACUGCAUUCGAAACUGGCUGGCUAGAGUCUUGUAGAGGGGGGUAGAAUUCCAGGUGUAGCGGUGAAAUGCGUAGAGAUCUGGAGGAAUACCGGUGGCGAAGGCGGCCCCCUGGACAAAGACUGACGCUCAGGUGCGAAAGCGUGGGGAGCAAACA
Molecule: ribosomal RNA, 427 nt
Filed under: uncultured bacterium
Lineage: Bacteria
Description: partial 16S ribosomal RNA
Rfam family: Bacterial small subunit ribosomal RNA
Source: RNAcentral